GAUGAAGAAGGUAGUGAAAUGCGAUACGUAAUGUGAAUUGCAGAAUUCAGUGAAUCAUCGAGUCUUUGAACGCACAUUGCGCCCCCUGGUAUUCCGGGGGGCAUGCCUGUCCGAGCGUCAUUGCUGCCCUCAAGCACGGCUUGUGUGUUGGGCCUCCGUCCUCCUCCCGGGGGACGGGCCCGAAAGGCAGCGGCGGCACCGCGUCCGGUCCUCGAGCGUAUGGGGCUUCGUCACCCGCUCUUGUAGGCCCGGCCGGCGCUUGCCGACACAUCAAUCUUUUUUCCAGGUUGACCUCGGAUCAGGUAGGGAUACCCGCUGAACUUAAGCAUAUCAAUAAGCGGAGGA
RNAcentral lists this unclassified non-coding RNA (345 nucleotides) under soil metagenome. RNAcentral describes it as "partial contains 5.8S ribosomal RNA, internal transcribed spacer 2, and large subunit ribosomal RNA". The stretch from base 1 to 120 matches the Rfam family "5.8S ribosomal RNA", at positions 35 to 154 of the family's 154-position model. The record is from RNAcentral.